AGAACAACAACAAUCAGGAGUUGAAGAGUGCGAAGAAGAAAGCAGUGGAUUCUGAUGUGGUUGUUCAAGAGGAGUCGGCGAAGAAGACUGGUGAUGAUACGAAGAAGCAAUUGUUUCAGAGGUUGUGGAGUGAAGAUGAUGAGAUUGUGAUUUUGAAAGACUGCGAGUCUUGAAAAGCUAUGUCAAACAAGAAGUGAAAAUAUUCAUGAAGAAGAAUCGAAGAAAGUUGGUCUCUGGCAAAGGAGGAAGCUGCCAAGUCUAAAGCAGCAAAGGAUGUUAUGAAAGAUUUGACACUGAAGAGCGACCCAGAUUUGGUUUUUGGAGGGAUCACAAUUGUCUCUGAAAUAUUAAGAACAAUAGCCAGAGGUUUUGUUCUGGAUAAAAUGACUAACACAAUCCCCAAUGCUUUUAAGUACCAUGUGUUGAAAACUCAAACAGAGACUUACAGGAAGUAGGAGAGAGAACGCCAAUUUGAGAUUGAUAUAAGAAGGGCACAAGGGUUAGAAGUCAAACGAACGCUGGAAGAUGGGAACUGCCUCUUUUGUGCUGUUGCAGAUCAGCUGUAUGGGGACUCUGAUGCGUAUGAUUUGGUUAGACACAUGUGCAUUGAUUAUAAAUUUAUAUGGUAUGACUAUUCUUAUGUGACUUCAUAUCCUUAGAAGCUAAAGUAUACAUGUUCAUCUUUCAUCUUUAUGUGAUUCCUAUCUUUCAUCUUGUUAGUGGUAUGCCUACUAAAUGGAAUAUUAUGUGUCAACCUAGAAAAAGUGGGAUGCUAGUUUAUUUGUUUCCUGACACCUCCAAAAAAAUAAAAUAAAUAAAUAAAUAGAAUUGUUAAAGAAAUGAAAAAUACCAUGCGAAAAGAUAAAGUAGAAAGAGAAAAAUGCAAAGCAGAGUGACUCUGUUUUAUCUUCAGGGUAUAUCUAGAAAUUUCCUUACGAGACACAUUCUAGAAUGAUAUACUUUGUGAGCUAUUUUUUGAAUUUUUUGAUUGGUUGAUUGAGCUAUAUUAUUUGCCAUUUGUUGAAAUCUAAUACUAUUACAAGCUGGGAAAGGAGUUACAGAGUAGAGGUGUUAGAAUUCUUAAUUCCUGGUUAGCAGUUCCUUUACUUCUUCUGAGUUGCUUUGGAAGGUUGGUCCUGUCUUGACUAGUAGUAGAAAAAAAAAUUAUUGUCUGGUAAGGAUAGGUAGUGUAUUGCAGGUCGUCUAGGACUCAAGGUCUUUUGUAUGAAGUUGUGCCCUUCAUUUCCCCUAAUCAUUUCUUGCAGGUCUUGCUAGUACAUGUUUAGAGAUGUUGCGGGUUAAAGUGACUGUGAGAUCUAUAUGCUAGGUUCCUUAUAUGUGAGUGUUGUGAGGCUGUUUAUACUAACUGUUUUGUUUGUAGGCUGUACAGCUGGUCUUUCUUUAGGGAAGGUGUGUUGAGUGAUGUAAGUCAGAUAUUGCUAGGUAGUCAUACUUGUGUGGAGCUGGUGAGACUUGUGGGUUGAGUGAUGUUGAGCAUGUAUAUAUAUAUAUAUUCUCUAAUGUUUGUUGUGCAGAUUGGCAAGCUGGUACAUAUUGUGAGGGAAUUUUUUGUUUGUGAGCAUGUAUUUUGUAGUGUUUUAUGUGAGUUGAGAGUGUGGGUUGAGUGGCUAAGGACUAUAUUGUGUGUUUGUUCUCAACCCAUUUUGUUCUUUCCUUUUGGUCCUCACUGGUGGUUGUUAUACUAUUCAAAAUGGGUCUCUCAUGUGUUCAACACCCCCAUAGCCCCUGUUAUGUGGCGGUUGAACAUAUGUAAUCCUAUGUUUGAGUGGUUGGUUCUAGUAUGGAGCUUAACUUUAUUUUUAUUUUUUUUGGUUUUCUUUUUU
Camellia sinensis is the source of this 1844-nucleotide non-coding RNA. Lineage: Eukaryota; Viridiplantae; Streptophyta; Magnoliopsida; Ericales; Theaceae. The record is from RefSeq and is a predicted model, not a curated record.